RNAcentral lists this ribosomal RNA (400 nucleotides) under phytoplankton environmental sample. Its description in RNAcentral is "partial small subunit ribosomal RNA". It matches the Rfam family "Eukaryotic small subunit ribosomal RNA", at positions 587 to 983 of the family's 1831-position model. The record is from RNAcentral.
AGCUCCAAUAGCGUAUAUUAAAGUUGUUGCAGUUAAAAAGCUCGUAGUUGGAUUUCUGGUGGGGGCCGCUGGUCCGCCGCGCAAGCGGCGUGACCGAUGCGUGCCUACCGCCAUCCUCGGGGGGGCUUCGCGUGGGAUUAGUUUCUCGUGCGUUUGUCGACCCGUCUUUUACUGUGAAAAAAUUAGAGUGUUCAAAGCAGGCUGAGGCCGUUGAAUACAUUAGCAUGGAAUAAUGAGAUAGGACCUUGGCGGUCUAUUUUGUUGGUUUGCACGCCAAGGUAAUGAUUAAUAGGGAUAGUUGGGGGUAUUCGUAUUCAAUUGUCAGAGGUGAAAUUCUUAGAUUUAUGGAAGACGAACUACUGCGAAAGCAUUUACCAAGGAUGUUUUCAUUAAUCAAGAA